RNAcentral lists this ribosomal RNA (271 nucleotides) under uncultured bacterium. RNAcentral describes it as "partial 16S ribosomal RNA". It matches the Rfam family "Bacterial small subunit ribosomal RNA", at positions 86 to 354 of the family's 1533-position model. The record is from RNAcentral.
UUUAUUUUAGCGGCGGACGGGUGAGUAACGUGUGGGCAACCUGCCUUUUACUGGGGAAUAAUCACUGGAAACGGUGACUAAUACCGCAUAAUAUUCUUGGAAGGGCAUCUUCCGAGAAGGAAAGGAAAUAUUCGGUAAAAGAUGGGCCCGCAUCUGAUUAGCUAGUUGGUGAGAUAACAGCCCACCAAGUCGACGAUCAGUAGCCGACCUGAGAGGGUGACCGGCCACAUUGGGACUGAGACACGGCCCAAACUCCUACGGAAGGCAGCAG